This 1286-nucleotide ribosomal RNA is filed under the name metagenome. RNAcentral describes it as "bacterial LSU rRNA". It matches the Rfam family "Bacterial large subunit ribosomal RNA", at positions 1662 to 2925 of the family's 2925-position model. The record is from RNAcentral.
CCUGAUCAGGUAGAGAAUACCAAGGCGAUCGAGUGAACCAUGGUUAAGGAACUCGGCAAAAUGCCCCCGUAACUUCGGGAGAAGGGGGGCCGGAUGCGUUACCUCACUUGCUGGGGGAAGCGUUGAUGGCCGCAGAGACCAGGCCCAAGCGACUGUUUACUAAAAACACAGGUCCGUGCGAAGAAGUAAUUCGAUGUAUACGGACUGACGCCUGCCCGGUGCUGGAACGUUAAGGGGACAGGUUAGCUGGUUUAGGCCGGCGAAGCUUUGAACUUAAGCGCCAGUAAACGGCGGUGGUAACUAUAACCAUCCUAAGGUAGCGAAAUUCCUUGUCGGGUAAGUUCCGACCUGCACGAAUGGCGUAACGACUUGGGCGCUGUCUCAACCAUGGACUCGGCGAAAUUGCAUUACGAGUAAAGAUGCUCGUUACGCGCAGCAGGACGGAAAGACCCCGGGACCUUUACUACAACUUGGUAUUGGUGGUCGGUACAACUUGUGUAGGAUAGGUGGGAGACUGUGAAAUCCGGACGCCAGUUCGGGUGGAGUCAUCGUUGAAAUACCACUCUGGUUGUUCUGGCUGUCUAACUUCGGUCCAUUAUCUGGAUCAGGGACAGUGCCUGGUGGGUAGUUUGACUGGGGCGGUCGCCUCCUAAAAGGUAACGGAGGCGCUCAAAGGUUCCCUCAGCCUGGUUGGCAAUCAGGUGUCGAGUGUAAGUGCACAAGGGAGCUUGACUGUGAGACAGACAUGUCGAGCAGGGACGAAAGUCGGAACUAGUGAUCCGGCGGUGGCAUGUGGGAGCACCGUCGCUCAACGGAUAAAAGGUACCCCGGGGAUAACAGGCUGAUCUUCCCCAAGAGUCCAUAUCGACGGGAUGGUUUGGCACCUCGAUGUCGGCUCGUCGCAUCCUGGGGCUGGAGUAGGUCCCAAGGGUUGGGCUGUUCGCCCAUUAAAGCGGCACGCGAGCUGGGUUUAGAACGUCGUGAGACAGUUCGGUCCCUAUCCGCUGCGCGCGCAGGAGACUUGAGAAGGGCUGCCCCUAGUACGAGAGGACCGGGGUGGACGAACCUCUGGUGUGCCAGUUGUUCCGCCAGGAGCACGGCUGGUUGGCUACGUUCGGGAGUGAUAACCGCUGAAAGCAUCUAAGCGGGAAGCACGCUUCAAGAUGAGGUCUCCCACCGAGUUAAUCGGGUAAGGCCCCCAGUAGACCACUGGGUUGAUAGGCCAGAGGUGGAAGCGCCGUAAGGUGUGGAGCUGACUGGUACUAAUAGGCCGAGGGCUUGUCUCA